AGUAUCUGCAGACCUCAGAAACAGGAUUGUGUCAAGACAUAGAUCUAGAGAUGGGUAUGAAAACAUUUAUGCAGCUUUAUAGGUCCCAAAGACCACAGUGGCCACCAGAAUGAUUAUGAUGACGAAUCAUUCGUAAAUGGAAGAAGUUUAGAAUCACCCAGACUCUUCCUAGAUCUGGCCGCCCGGCCAAACCGAGCAAUAGGGGAAGACGGGCCUUGGCCAGGGAGGUGUGCAGGAACACGAAGGAGUUCCCUCUGCUUACCUGGAUCUGAGAGAGGUGUUUAACAAGUUCUGUGCCACAUCUCUUCCUCCUCAUCAACCACAUGACUGUGUCUUUGACUUUCUUCCCGGGCUUCUCCUGCCAAAGGGAUUUUUCUGUGUUGAUAAUAAGGUCAAGACUAUGCACCCCUGUAUCGACUUCCGGGGUCUCAAUGAUGUCACUAUCAAAAAGUAGUGUGAACCCUGCAACAGUGGCCAUCAAGUUGGCGCAGGAGGAAUUGAGGGGCCAAACAGGCUGUUCCUGGCAUGGACUGAUCACAGCAACCUGGAGUACAUCAGGACUACCAAGAGAUUGAACCCUGUCAAGCCAGGAGAGGAGCGUGCAGCCAAAAAUCCAAGCACUGGCAGUCACAGCGGGCUGAUGCGGAUGCUCUGGGUCUAACCUAUGUAAUGGCAGCAACAGACAGUUUGACGAACGGGAACGGAAGAUCCGCUUGUCUCCCAGCCACCACACACUCUACUCUUGGCUAACCAUCCUCCCGCUGAUGGUGAGGACGAGGCGAACCGUUUGGAUUUAAUCAAAACAAACUAUCAAAACGUGCAGGGAUCAUGGAUGUAAUGUUGACAAGCCCUGAGUCUGCUGUAGUCAGGCAGCUCUACUUCUUCUUACUGUGUAUUGAGAGCAGACUAGAGGAACAAGUGGUAUACAAUACGUUAGCAUGCUAAUUUCAGUAAUAUUAUGACAUAACGUUAACACUGUUACCUCUAAACAUUCUGUUGAUAAUGUUGGUU
This is a long non-coding RNA of Cottoperca gobio, 1011 nucleotides long. RefSeq lists it as uncharacterized. NCBI's taxonomy places the organism in Eukaryota, Metazoa, Chordata, Actinopteri, Perciformes, Bovichtidae. The transcript has 3 exons. The record is from RefSeq and is a predicted model, not a curated record.